This 488-nucleotide ribosomal RNA is filed under the name uncultured bacterium. RNAcentral's name for it is "bacterial SSU rRNA". It matches the Rfam family "Bacterial small subunit ribosomal RNA", at positions 30 to 516 of the family's 1533-position model. The record is from RNAcentral.
AUUGAACGCUGGCGGCAUGCCUUACACAUGCAAGUCGAACGGCAGCACGGACUUCGGUCUGGUGGCGAGUGGCGAACGGGUGAGUAAUAUAUCGGAACGUGCCCAGUCGUGGGGGAUAACGUAGUGAAAAUUACGCUAAUACCGCAUACGAUCUAAGGAUGAAAGCGGGGGAUCGCAAGACCUCGCGCGAUUAGAGCGGCCGAUGCCUGAUUAGCUUGUUGGUGGGGUAAAAGCCCACCAAGGCGACGAUCAGUAGCUGGUCUGAGAGGACGACCAGCCACACUGGAACUGAGACACGGUCCAGACUCCUACGGGAGGCAGCAGUGGGGAAUUUUGGACAAUGGACGCAAGUCUGAUCCAGCCAUUCCGCGUGAAGGCGACGGCCCUAUGGGUUGUAAACUUCUUUUGUAUAGGGAUAAACCUAGAUACGUGUAUCUAGCUUGAAGGUACCAAAGGAAUAAGCACCGGCUAACUCCGUGCCAGCAGCC